CGUCAAGCGGUGAGCAAUAACAAUGCAGGUUCGACCCUUCCUGGCAUCAUCCAAGGCUUUCUGGACAAUCUGCAGACAGAUGCAGUGAAAAACUUGUUAUUACUUGGAGAAUCUUCCUUUUCAUAGCCUGGUUCACAAGGACUAGCAUUACUUUAGGGAGAUUGACACUGCUGCAAUUGAUUCAGUGGGUGUUGAGAGCAGAGUGCUCUCUGAUCGACUCUGGUACUCCACUGGAACAAGAAGAGUAAGCCAUGUGACUCCGAUAAUGCAUUAUGCCACUCAGUCAGAGGGGAGACCACACUGCAUCAUGGGAGAUGUAGUCUAACCUGGAAGCCCGGCCCAUAAGAGAGGCAAUGUUCCAAAACAGA
This is a long non-coding RNA of Mauremys reevesii (Reeves's turtle), 368 nucleotides long. RefSeq lists it as uncharacterized. The transcript is spliced from 4 exons. The record is from RefSeq and is a predicted model, not a curated record. NCBI's taxonomy places the organism in Eukaryota, Metazoa, Chordata, Testudines, Geoemydidae.